UGCUAAGCUCUCCUGGGACUCUGAUGUCUUCAGGAUGACCUAACCACACCGCCCUGUGCUUCAUCCUGGAGCUUGUCAGUCAGGAGGAAGAGCGGUUGCAGCAGACUGGCAAAGAGGUUUUAAGAAGUUGAGUUACUUACCCAAUUUCCCACCAACCUCUUGACCAAAUUGGGAAGGAACAUCCGUUGAGAAUUUCAAAUGUACAGGCUAUCUGCAAGUAUUUUCCACAGCGCAUGAGCCAAGUGCCAACCUGGAACCUGGCGUGUUGGGAACACCUUCUUUCUCCUCCAAAGACAAAGUGGGGGCCCCUGACACCUGCUCCAGGAGAACAGGCACCAGGGCUGGAAAUGCAUGCAUUCUGCCUUCCUCCCAGAAAGAACAGCUUAGCACAGCAGCCCUUCUCCCCUCGGCUGAGGAUGAGGAGAAGGAAGAUGCCUCCAUCACUACUCUGACAUGAACCAGAUACUCAGGUCUGUGUUAGUCUUGUUUCUAAAUAUGAGGAAGUACUCACAACAGCUGAGAUUAUGUAAGGUUUACAUUUUAACUUCAAAUAAAUACGUUCCACUGUAAGGCUGGAGA
Myotis myotis is the source of this 579-nucleotide long non-coding RNA. RefSeq lists it as uncharacterized. NCBI's taxonomy places the organism in Eukaryota, Metazoa, Chordata, Mammalia, Chiroptera, Vespertilionidae. The transcript has 3 exons. The record is from RefSeq and is a predicted model, not a curated record.